CCUGGCUCAGGAUGAACGCUAGCUACAGGCUUAACACAUGCAAGUCGAGGGGCAGCAUUUUAGUUUGCUUGCAAACUAAAGAUGGCGACCGGCGCACGGGUGAGUAACACGUAUCCAACCUGCCGAUAACUCGGGGAUAGCCUUUCGAAAGAAAGAUUAAUAUCCGAUAGUAUAUUAAAACCGCAUGGUUUUACUAUUAAAGAAUUUCGGUUAUCGAUGGGGAUGCGUUCCAUUAGUUUGUUGGCGGGGUAACGGCCCACCAAGACUACGAUGGAUAGGGGUUCUGAGAGGAAGGUCCCCCACAUUGGAACUGAGACACGGUCCAAACUCCUACGGGAGGCAGCAGUGAGGAAUAUUGGUCAAUGGACGAGAGUCUGAACCAGCCAAGUAGCGUGAAGGAUGACUGCCCUAUGGGUUGUAAACUUCUUUUAUAUGGGAAUAAAGUAUUCCACGUGUGGAUUUUGUAUGUACCAUAUGAAUAAGGAUCGGCUAACUCCGUGCCAGCAGCCGCGGUAAUACGGAGGAUCCGAGCGUUAUCCGGAUUUAUUGGGUUUAAAGGGAGCGUAGGUGGAUUGUUAAGUCAGUUGUGAAAGUUUGCGGCUCAACCGUAAAAUUGCAGUUGAAACUGGCAGUCUUGAGUACAGUAGAGGUGGGCGGAAUUCGUGGUGUAGCGGUGAAAUGCUUAGAUAUCACGAAGAACUCCGAUUGCGAAGGCAGCUCACUAGACUGCAACUGACACUGAUGCUCGAAAGUGUGGGUAUCAAACAGGAUUAGAUACCCUGGUAGUCCACACAGUAAACGAUGAAUACUCGCUGUUUGCGAUAUACAGUAAGCGGCCAAGCGAAAGCAUUAAGUAUUCCACCUGGGGAGUACGCCGGCAACGGUGAAACUCAAAGGAAUUGACGGGGGCCCGCACAAGCGGAGGAACAUGUGGUUUAAUUCGAUGAUACGCGAGGAACCUUACCCGGGCUUAAAUUGCAUUUGAAUAAUCUGGAAACAGGUUAGCCGCAAGGCAAAUGUGAAGGUGCUGCAUGGUUGUCGUCAGCUCGUGCCGUGAGGUGUCGGCUUAAGUGCCAUAACGAGCGCAACCCUUAUCUUUAGUUACUAACAGGUCAUGCUGAGGACUCUAGAGAGACUGCCGUCGUAAGAUGUGAGGAAGGUGGGGAUGACGUCAAAUCAGCACGGCCCUUACGUCCGGGGCUACACACGUGUUACAAUGGGGGGUACAGAAGGCAGCUACCUGGCGACAGGAUGCUAAUCCCAAAAACCUCUCUCAGUUCGGAUCGAAGUCUGCAACCCGACUUCGUGAAGCUGGAUUCGCUAGUAAUCGCGCAUCAGCCAUGGCACGGUGAAUACGUUCCCGGGC
This 1366-nucleotide ribosomal RNA is filed under the name uncultured bacterium. Its description in RNAcentral is "bacterial SSU rRNA". It matches the Rfam family "Bacterial small subunit ribosomal RNA", at positions 18 to 1379 of the family's 1533-position model. The record is from RNAcentral.